Molecule: long non-coding RNA, 1114 nt
Organism: Salvelinus fontinalis (brook trout)
Lineage: Eukaryota; Metazoa; Chordata; Actinopteri; Salmoniformes; Salmonidae
Exons: 2
Source: RefSeq, a predicted model, not a curated record
ACUGCCCCCACUACAACAAAUACAUGUAAUUUGGUGCUUAAAUGUUUUUGAAAUACUGCAGAAUUACAUUCAUUCCUAUGGAGGACUGGGCCUUCCGAGGAGCACCAAUAUGGAGGCCGGUGGCUUCAAAGCCUCAUUAGCUACAUCGCAUUAACACAAGCUAGUGUUUAUAGACGUCAUUGGUUUCCAUUCAUAUGAACCGCAAUCAAAGACGAGACAUUGGAAAUUGCUAGUUCAUAUCUGGUUACACCGCUGAUGGAUUUUACGCCAAGAUCGCUAACGAGUGAGAAAAUGCAGAACAUCAGCAGGAGCCAGUUGUGCAGGAGAAGGGGAAACCGAUGACUCCUCCCAGAAACCCUCACAUUGCUCUUCUGGCUGCUACUCUGUCAUAUGUGACCCUGCUACAACACGAUCACCACGCCAGCGAGGUGAACCAUAAGGUCACACAGUGGUGGGAAAAGUACUCGAUUGUCAUACUUGAGUAAAAGUAAAGAUACCUUAAUAGAAAAUGACUCAAGGGGAAGUAAAAAGUACAUCAAUGUUUUUUAGGAAUGUAGUGAAGUAAAAUUAAUGUACAGAUAUCCCCAGAAACUACUUAAAUAGUACUUUAAAGUAUUUUUACUUAAGCAACUUUACACCACUGAGGUCACAGUCCAUAACAGUCCUUAUUUAUUGAAUACCCUCAGAUCUUUUUUUUGUUGCUACAUGUACUGUAUCUAAAUUUAACUUAAGUUGAGCUGUUUCUUAAUAAGUUGUACAACUGCCUAGACACACCCUGCAGGAUCUGGUUUCCUCCUUCCAGAGGACAAAUAAACAACCCAGAAUUCCCAGGAACUGAAGAAAGAACAAAAUACUAAACCGAGGAACUUUCCUCCAAGGAACUAUCAUCAAUAUGUAUAUCAUCAUUGACACCCACUUUUCCACAAUUCCAGAAUUUAUAUUAAGGACACACUGUUGUUGAACUGUAUUGUUGAACUGUAUUGUUAUUGUUGAACUGUAUUGUUGAACUGUAUUGUUGAACAGUAUUGUUAUUGUUGAACUGUGUUGUUGAACUGUAUUGUUUAACUUCUCUAUGUGUUUUCUAAGAUGAAUGAAAGUCUCUGUUUCAUAUGAA